UACGGAGGGUGCAAGCGUUGUCCGGAAUCACUGGGCGUAAAGGGCGCGUAGGCGGCCUCCGCAAGUCAGUUGUGAAAUCUCCGAGCUUAACUCGGAAAGGUCAACUGAUACUGCGGGGCUAGAGUGCGGAAGGGGCAACUGGAAUUCUUGGUGUAGCGGUGAAAUGCGUAGAUAUCAAGAGGAACACCUGCGGCGAAGGCGGGUUGCUGGGCCGACACUGACGCUGAGGCGCGAAAGCUAGGGGAGCGAACGGG
Molecule: ribosomal RNA, 254 nt
Filed under: uncultured bacterium
Lineage: Bacteria
Description: partial 16S ribosomal RNA
Rfam family: Bacterial small subunit ribosomal RNA
Source: RNAcentral